UGAGGAAUAUUGGACAAUGGAGGGAACUCUGACCCAGCCAUGCCGCGUGCAGGAUGAAGGCGUUAUGCGUUGUAAACUGCUUUUUAUAUAGGAAGAAAUAGUCCUUGCGAGGAAAGUUGACGGUACUAUAUGAAUAAGCACCGGCUAACUCCGUGCCAGCAGCCGCGGUAAUACGGAGGGUGCAAGCGUUGUCCGGAUUUAUUGGGUUUAAAGGGUGCGUAGGCGGUUUAUUAAGUCAGUGGUGAAAGACGGUCGCUCAACGAUUGCAGUGCCAUUGAUACUGGUAGACUUGAGUAUGAUUGAGGUAGCUGGAAUGGAUAGUGUAGCGGUGAAAUGCAUAGAUAUUAUCCAGAACACCAAUUGCGUAGGCAAGUUACUAAGUCAUAACUGACGCUGAGGCACGAAAAGUGUGGGUAUCAAACAGGAUUAGAUACCCAGGUAGUCCCUGAGCGGGCUGGCAAGGCGCAU
Molecule: ribosomal RNA, 468 nt
Filed under: uncultured bacterium
Lineage: Bacteria
Description: bacterial SSU rRNA
Rfam family: Bacterial small subunit ribosomal RNA
Source: RNAcentral